CAGUCGCCACGGUAAUACGUAGGUGGCAAGCGUUGUCCGGAAUUAUUGGGCGUAAAGGGCUCGCAGGCGGUUUCUUAAGUCUGACGUGAAAGCCCCCGGCUCAACCGGGGAGGGUCAUUGGAAACUGGGAAACUUGAGUGCAGAAGAGGAGAGUGGAAUUCCACGUGUAGCGGUGAAAUGCGUAGAGAUGUGGAGGAACACCAGUGGCGAAGGCGACUCUCUGGUCUGUAACUGACGCUGAGGAGCGAAAGCGUGGGGAGCGAACAGGAUUAGAUACCCGUGUAGUCCCUGUCUCUUAUAC
RNAcentral lists this ribosomal RNA (301 nucleotides) under uncultured bacterium. RNAcentral describes it as "partial 16S ribosomal RNA". It matches the Rfam family "Bacterial small subunit ribosomal RNA", at positions 509 to 807 of the family's 1533-position model. The record is from RNAcentral.